Molecule: transfer RNA, 83 nt
Filed under: Armillaria borealis
Lineage: Eukaryota; Fungi; Basidiomycota; Agaricomycetes; Agaricales; Physalacriaceae
Also listed under: 5 other names
Description: tRNA-Leu
Rfam family: tRNA
About the family: Transfer RNA (tRNA) molecules are approximately 80 nucleotides in length. Their secondary structure includes four short double-helical elements and three loops (D, anti-codon, and T loops).
Source: RNAcentral
GCGAAUAUGUCGAAAUUGGUAGCCGAGUGAAUUUUAGGAAUUCAUGUUUUUAAAUCGUAAGAGUUCAAGUCUCUUUGUUCGUA